GCGCCCGUAGUUCAAUGGAUAGAGCACUAGGCUUCGGACCUAGGUGUUGCACGUUCGAGUCGUGCCGGGCGCG
Molecule: transfer RNA, 73 nt
Filed under: Candidatus Omnitrophota bacterium
Lineage: Bacteria; Pseudomonadati; Candidatus Omnitrophota
Description: Candidatus Omnitrophica bacterium tRNA-Arg
Rfam family: tRNA
About the family: Transfer RNA (tRNA) molecules are approximately 80 nucleotides in length.
Source: RNAcentral